Galeopterus variegatus (Sunda flying lemur) is the source of this 1353-nucleotide non-coding RNA. The record is from the annotation of a RefSeq genome assembly. Lineage: Eukaryota; Metazoa; Chordata; Mammalia; Dermoptera; Cynocephalidae.
AAUUUUAUUUUUCCCAGUCCUACUUAGCAUAGUCAAUGAAUGGGUAGCCCAAGGCAGCAUGUGUGGGAACUGUGAAUAUCCCAGUUACACAGUUUUAUUUUUUAAAAUUCCAUUUAACAAAUUAUGUAACCAAAAGGAACAUAUAUGAAAUAUUAAAUAAUUCUGAAAUUAUUCACAAUGAAAAAGGCGUUUCUUCUCAAGGACUGAGCAUCUAUCCUGUGAACAUCUGCUGGGUCAGAUGUUUGAUCUAGAAAAGUCUGUGGGGAGGUAAUGAUUGCUCAUCCAGGGGCUGUGUCCAAUUUUAUCACUUGAAAUUUUUAUUACUUUAAUGAAAGAUAGAAAUUUAAAGUCUCAAGUAUAAUUCUCUAAAUGACUUUGGGUCAUAAUGAAUAUGAGGUAACAUACUUCACCAGGCUUUGGAAUGGAGAACUGUCUUCCUCUAAAGUAGGAGUUGCCCUUGUUUCCAGGAUCUGGAUGGAAUCUCUGCUCUUCUCUUUUAAACUCUCUGAACCCUCAUUGCUCAGCCCCUCCCCUGCUUUGCAUGUUCCCUCAGAGCCCCAUGAAGAGCAUGUGCCCUCAAGGGAAGGCCUGAGGAGCAGCAGGCAGGACACACAGAAUGAUGGUGCCUGUUCUGCUCCUGGGGCUUCUGGGGCUCUACACCACAGGUACUUCUGGUGACAUUCUGUUGACUCAGUCUCCCUCCUCUCUGUCUGGGGCUUCUGGAGAGAAAAUCACCAUCACCUGCACAGCCAGUCAAAGUGUCAAGCACACUGGUGGGAAAACCUAUCUGAGCUGGUUCCAACAGAAAAGUGGACAAGUUAAGCAACUCAUUUACCAAGUUUCCAACUUACAGACUGGAGUCCCAUCGCGGUUCAGUGGCAGUGGGUCUGACAGAGAUUUCAGCCUCACCAUCAGCAGCCUGGAGGCUGAAGAUGCCGCUGUCUAUUACUGUUGGCAAGGUUCCUAUAGUCCUCCACAGUGAUACAGCCCAUAACACAAACCCCACAGCAGCCCCCUGAGCCUCCAUCUGGGCUGCUCCUCCUCCUCUGGCACCUGCUGCUCCUGCUCAGUCACCCUCUCUCUAUCUGCAGUUAUUUACAUUACAGCAAAGCCAAGACCAUGCAGCUGUUGAAACUGCCAGUCUGGGUUACAGUCAAAGGCCAUCCAGUUGAAUCCUUAAUAAUCUUAGAAGUAUUCUCUGUGACUGAUAAUGCCUUAUAUUUAUUUUCAAUUUCAGGCAGGUAGAAAAUAUCCCUUGUCUUAAAAAAAAAUCAUUAUGAGCCACUAUGAGGCAUCUGUGUUCUCCACGUGAAGGAUAGAAAAUAAGAUUUUCUAACUUAAACCAAGGCUGAA